Molecule: long non-coding RNA, 938 nt
Filed under: Homo sapiens (human)
Lineage: Eukaryota; Metazoa; Chordata; Mammalia; Primates; Hominidae
Description: HSALNT0346635
Source: RNAcentral
UUAGAGACUCUGGACCUUUCUUCCAAAAACACGAGCUUAUGAAUAGGACUCUGUGGUGCCUGACGUGUCGUUCAUGGGUCAGCACAGGCGUGGUAGCUGGGCUGCAGGACAGGCUUAGGAGACCCUCCCAGCAUGGAUGGCGGUAGCUCGUGGGCAAUCUUGCCCCUGAACUAACCCAGCUCAGACUUCAAGUGCCAGAUUGAUCUGAAACUCAGUCUCGCCUCAGCUAGCUGCAGAACAGCCUCCAGAGCCUGCCUGGACACAGUCUAGAAGGAAAAGUUCCCUCUGUCCCUGACUGCCUGGCACACCUUAAAAUCAUUUCAUUUUGCUUUCACCUCUCUUUUUCUGAAAGUCAAAACGUUACAUUCAUGUGUUUCAUGGAAAACAGCUAAGGAUAAAAUACAAAAGCCACACUUCUGUUACACAAUUUCCACUUUCAAAGAAACAUAUAUUUUGGAUCACAAGAACAGGAGGAGUGAAAAAUGCUGGAGAGAGAGGCAUUUAUCACUAUAAACUUCCCUCUUAGAACUGCUUCUGCUGUAUCCCGCGAGUUUUGGUGCGUUGUAUUUCCAUUGUUCAAGUGAAUGUGUCUCCCACCACGUCCCUUGGUAGACAGUGCUGCUCCCAGACCCCAGCUGAGAGGAGAUGGAACUGCGUCACUGGCUGCUUCACCAUCCACAGCCUGGACUGAGCUGGGUGGGCCUGCUACUGGAAGUACAGGUGGGCAUGGCUCUUCCCACAUCCCUGGCUUGGCAGAUGGUGCCAGUUGCAGGAUCAAGCUCUGCCCACCAUUGAGCAGCCCAGGCAUCAUGGAGCCUCAGUACUCUUCCUUCGGGCCACAUGGCGCACUCCUUGGCUAGACCAUUCGUCAACCGCACCCGAGGUUUUCUAAAGUUCCUAGAUUGAGACCAGACCUUCUCAAGGAUCUUCCAAUCUUA